RNAcentral lists this ribosomal RNA (497 nucleotides) under uncultured bacterium. RNAcentral's name for it is "partial 16S ribosomal RNA". It matches the Rfam family "Bacterial small subunit ribosomal RNA", at positions 29 to 507 of the family's 1533-position model. The record is from RNAcentral.
AAUGAACGCUGGCGGCGUGCCUAAUACAUGCAAGUCGAGCGAACAGAUAAGGAGCUUGCUCCUUUGACGUUAGCGGCGGACGGGUGAGUAACACGUGGGUAACCUACCUAUAAGACUGGAAUAACUCCGGGAAACCGGGGCUAAUGCCGGAUAACAUUUAGAACCGCAUGGUUCUAAAGUGAAUGAUGGUUUUGCUAUCACUUAUAGAUGGACCCGCGCCGUAUUAGCUAGUUGGUAAGGUAACGGCUUACCAAGGCAACGAUACGUAGCCGACCUGAGAGGGUGAUCGGCCACACUGGAACUGAGACACGGUCCAGACUCCUACGGGAGGCAGCAGUAGGGAAUCUUCCGCAAUGGGCGAAAGCCUGACGGAGCAACGCCGCGUGAGUGAUGAAGGUCUUCGGAUCGUAAAACUCUGUUAUUAGGGAAGAACAAAUGUGUAAGUAACUGUGCACGUCUUGACGGUACCUAAUCAGAAAGCCACGGCUAACUACGUG